RNAcentral lists this ribosomal RNA (237 nucleotides) under uncultured bacterium. RNAcentral describes it as "partial 16S ribosomal RNA". It matches the Rfam family "Bacterial small subunit ribosomal RNA", at positions 100 to 334 of the family's 1533-position model. The record is from RNAcentral.
CCGGCACGGGUGAGUAACACGUAUCCAACCUGCCGUCUACUCUUGGACAGCCUUCUGAAAGGAAGAUUAAUACAAGAUGGCAUCAUGAGUUCACAUGUUCACAUGAUUAAAGGUAUUCCGGUAGACGAUGGGGAUGCGUUCCAUUAGAUAGUAGGCGGGGUAACGGCCCACCUAGUCUUCGAUGGAUAGGGGUUCUGAGAGGAAGGUCCCCCACAUUGGAACUGGGACACGGUCCAA